GGGGGCGAAUAUGGUUUCGACAUGAAUGUCAAAAUCUAAGGUGCAUGCCGAGGAAGUACCGUAACCUCGUUAAUAACAGUACAAAUGCCAAUAAUAACUGGCAACAAA
This 108-nucleotide transfer-messenger RNA is filed under the name Francisella tularensis. RNAcentral describes it as "partial transfer-messenger RNA". It matches the Rfam family "transfer-messenger RNA", at positions 1 to 101 of the family's 374-position model. Rfam says of the family: Bacterial tmRNA, also known as 10Sa RNA or SsrA, is named for its dual tRNA and mRNA-like properties. Lineage: Bacteria; Pseudomonadati; Pseudomonadota; Gammaproteobacteria; Thiotrichales; Francisellaceae. The record is from RNAcentral.